RNAcentral lists this transfer RNA (73 nucleotides) under Bos taurus (domestic cattle). It matches the Rfam family "tRNA". Rfam says of the family: Transfer RNA (tRNA) molecules are approximately 80 nucleotides in length. Their secondary structure includes four short double-helical elements and three loops (D, anti-codon, and T loops). Lineage: Eukaryota; Metazoa; Chordata; Mammalia; Artiodactyla; Bovidae. The record is from Rfam by way of RNAcentral. RNAcentral also lists the same sequence under 2 other names.
UCCCUGGUGGUUCAGUGGUUAAGACUCUGUGCUUCCAAUGCAGGGGCCACUGGUUUGAUCCCUGGUCAGGGAA